This 843-nucleotide ribosomal RNA is filed under the name Aureobasidium pullulans. Its description in RNAcentral is "partial large subunit ribosomal RNA". It matches the Rfam family "Eukaryotic large subunit ribosomal RNA", at positions 71 to 932 of the family's 3401-position model. The record is from RNAcentral. Lineage: Eukaryota; Fungi; Ascomycota; Dothideomycetes; Dothideales; Saccotheciaceae.
GGGAUUGCCCUAGUAACGGCGAGUGAAGCGGCAACAGCUCAAAUUUGAAAGCUAGCCUUCGGGUUCGCAUUGUAAUUUGUAGAGGAUGAUUUGGGGAAGCCGCCUGUCUAAGUUCCUUGGAACAGGACGUCAUAGAGGGUGAGAAUCCCGUAUGUGACAGGAAAUGGCACCCUAUGUAAAUCUCCUUCGACGAGUCGAGUUGUUUGGGAAUGCAGCUCUAAAUGGGAGGUAAAUUUCUUCUAAAGCUAAAUAUUGGCGAGAGACCGAUAGCGCACAAGUAGAGUGAUCGAAAGAUGAAAAGCACUUUGGAAAGAGAGUUAAAAAGCACGUGAAAUUGUUGAAAGGGAAGCGCUUGCAAUCAGACUUGUUUAAACUGUUCGGCCGGUCUUCUGACCGGUUUACUCAGUUUGGACAGGCCAGCAUCAGUUUCGGCGGCCGGAUAAAGGCUCUGGGAAUGUGGCCUCCACUUCGGUGGAGGUGUUAUAGCCCAGGGUGUAAUACGGCCAGCCGGGACUGAGGUCCGCGCUUCGGCUAGGAUGCUGGCGUAAUGGUUGUAAGCGACCCGUCUUGAAACACGGACCAAGGAGUCUAACAUCUAUGCGAGUGUUCGGGUGUCAAACCCCUGCGCGUAAUGAAAGUGAACGGAGGUGGGAACCCGCAAGGGUGCACCAUCGACCGAUCCUGAUGUCUUCGGAUGGAUUUGAGUAAGAGCAUAGCUGUUGGGACCCGAAAGAUGGUGAACUAUGCCUGAAUAGGGUGAAGCCAGAGGAAACUCUGGUGGAGGCUCGCAGCGGUUCUGACGUGCAAAUCGAUCGUCAAAUUUGGGUAUAGGGGCGAAAGACC